This 492-nucleotide ribosomal RNA is filed under the name uncultured bacterium. RNAcentral's name for it is "partial 16S ribosomal RNA". It matches the Rfam family "Bacterial small subunit ribosomal RNA", at positions 29 to 507 of the family's 1533-position model. The record is from RNAcentral.
AGUGAACGCUGGCGGUAGGCCUAACACAUGCAAGUCGAACGGCAGCACAGUAAGAGCUUGCUCUUACGGGUGGCGAGUGGCGGACGGGUGAGGAAUACAUCGGAAUCUACUUUUUCGUGGGGGAUAACGUAGGGAAACUUACGCUAAUACCGCAUACGACCUACGGGUGAAAGCAGGGGAUCUUCGGACCUUGCGCGAUUGAAUGAGCCGAUGUCGGAUUAGCUAGUUGGCGGGGUAAAGGCCCACCAAGGCGACGAUCCGUAGCUGGUCUGAGAGGAUGAUCAGCCACACUGGAACUGAGACACGGUUCAGACUCCUACGGGAGGCAGCAGUGGGGAAUAUUGGACAAUGGGCGCAGGCCUGAUCCAGCCAUACCGCGUGGGUGAAGAAGGCCUUCGGGUUGUAAAGCCCUUUUGUUGGGAAAGAAAAGCAGCAGGUUAAUACCCCGCUGUUCUGACGGUACCCAAAGAAUAAGCACCGGCUAACUUCGUG